This 427-nucleotide ribosomal RNA is filed under the name Caccoplectus orbis. RNAcentral describes it as "partial 16S ribosomal RNA". Lineage: Eukaryota; Metazoa; Arthropoda; Insecta; Coleoptera; Staphylinidae. The record is from RNAcentral.
CAAACUUUUUCAUCGAUUAGAACUCUAAGAAAAAAUUACGCUGUUAUCCCUAGGGUAAUUUAUUCUCUUAAUCUAAAAUAUAGGAUCAUCUAUUCAUAAAUCAAUGUUUAUUUUAAAAAAAAAGUUUGUUAAAUUUUUCAAUCACCCCAACAAAAUAAAAUAACACUUUAAAUAAAAAAAUCCAAAUAAACUUAAAAUUAAUUAUAUUAAACUCCAUAGGGUCUUCUCGUCUUUAAAUAAAAUUUCAGCUUUCUGACUAAAAAAUAAAAUUUUAAACUUUAUAAAGAGACAACAACUUUCUCAUCAAAUCAUUCAUACAAGCUUCUAAUCAAGAAACAAAUUAUUAUGCUACCUUAGCACAGUCAAAAUACUGCGGCUAUUUAAUAUUCAUUGAGCAGAUCUAAUCUUAAAUUAUAAUAUUAAGAAC